GAAUAUUGGACAAUGGGCGAAAGCCUGAUCCAGCCAUGCCGCGUGUGUGAAGAAGGUCUUCGGAUUGUAAAGCACUUUAAGUUGGGAGGAAGGGUUGUAGAUUAAUACUCUGCAAUUUUGACGUUACCGACAGAAUAAGCACCGGCUAACUCUGUGCCAGCAGCCGCGGUAAUACAGAGGGUGCAAGCGUUAAUCUGAAUUACUGGGCGUAAAGCGCGCGUAGGUGGUUCAGUAAGAUGGGUGUGAAAUCCCCGGGCUCAACCUGGGAACUGCUUUCAUAACUGCUGAGCUAGAGUACAGUAGAGGGUAGUGGAAUUUCCUGUGUAGCGGUGAAAUGCGUAGAUAUAGGAAGGAACACCAGUGGCGAAGGCGACUACCUGGACUGAUACUGACACUGAGGUGCGAAAGCGUGGGGAGCAAACAG
RNAcentral lists this ribosomal RNA (424 nucleotides) under uncultured bacterium. Its description in RNAcentral is "bacterial SSU rRNA". It matches the Rfam family "Bacterial small subunit ribosomal RNA", at positions 359 to 775 of the family's 1533-position model. The record is from RNAcentral.